GAUGAACGCUGGCGGCGUGCCUAAUACACGCAAGUCGAGCGAACAGACGAGGAGCUUGCUCCUCUGACGUUAGCGGCGGACGGGUGAGUAACACGUGGAUAACCUACCUAUAAGACUGGGAUAACUUCGGGAAACCGGAGCUAAUACCGGAUAAUAUAUUGAACCGCAUGGUUCAAUAGUGAAAGACGGUUUUGCUGUCAUUUAUAGAUGGAUCCGCGCCGCAUUAGCUAGUUGGUAAGGUAACGGCUUACCAAGGCGACGAUGCGUAGCCGACCUGAGAGGGUGAUCGGCCACACUGGAACUGAGACACGGUCCAGACUCCUACGGGAGGCAGCAGUAGGGAAUCUUCCGCAAAGGGCGAAAGCCUGACGGAGCAACGCCGCGUGAGUGAUGAAGGUCUUCGGAUCGUAAAACUCUGUUAUUAGGGAAGAACAAAUGUGUAAGUAACUAUGCACGUCUUGACGGUACCUAAUCAGAAAGCCACGGCUAACUACGUG
RNAcentral lists this ribosomal RNA (497 nucleotides) under uncultured bacterium. RNAcentral's name for it is "partial 16S ribosomal RNA". It matches the Rfam family "Bacterial small subunit ribosomal RNA", at positions 28 to 507 of the family's 1533-position model. The record is from RNAcentral.